Molecule: ribosomal RNA, 468 nt
Filed under: uncultured bacterium
Lineage: Bacteria
Description: partial 16S ribosomal RNA
Rfam family: Bacterial small subunit ribosomal RNA
Source: RNAcentral
GACGAACGCUGGCGGCGUGCUCAACACAUGCAAGUCGAACGGAAAGGCCCUGCUUUUGUGGGGUGCUCGAGUGGCGAACGGGUGAGUAACACGUGAGUAACCUGCCCUUGACUUUGGGAUAACUUCAGGAAACUGGGGCUAAUACCGGAUAGGAGCUCCUGCUGCAUGGUGGGGGUUGGAAAGUUUUGGCGGUUGGGGAUGGACUCGCGGCUUAUCAGCUUGUUGGUGGGGUAGUGGCUUACCAAGGCUUUGACGGGUAGCCGGCCUGAGAGGGUGACCGGCCACAUUGGGACUGAGAUACGGCCCAGACUCCUACGGGAGGCAGCAGUGGGGAAUAUUGCACAAUGGGCGGAAGCCUGAUGCAGCAACGCCGCGUGCGGGAUGACGGCCUUCGGGUUGUAAACCGCUUUCGCCUGUGACGAAGCGUGAGUGACGGUAAUGGGUAAAGAAGCACCGGCUAACUACGUG